Molecule: ribosomal RNA, 403 nt
Filed under: uncultured bacterium
Lineage: Bacteria
Description: partial 16S ribosomal RNA
Rfam family: Bacterial small subunit ribosomal RNA
Source: RNAcentral
GACGAACGCUGGCGGCGUGCCUAAUACAUGCAAGUCGAACGCAGUGGGGACGGGUGAGUAACACGUGGGUAACCUCGCAUCAGAGGGGAUAACACGUGGCAACAGGUGCUAAACCGAUACUGAUGGCUCGAGCCGCGGUGCAUGAGCUAGUUGGUGAGGUAACGCCUGACCAAGGAAACGAUGCAUAGCCGACCUGCGAGGCCGAUCGGACACAGUGGGACUGAGACACGGCCAAGACUCAGACGGGAGGCAGCAGGAGGGAAUCCUCGGCAAGGGACGAAAGUCGGAUCGAGCCACGCCGCGUGAAUGAAGAAGGUUGUCGGAUCGUAAAACUCUGUUGUUAGAGAAGCGGUAUCUAACCAGCAAGCCACGGCUAACUACGUGCCAGCAGCCGCGGUAAUUC